Molecule: ribosomal RNA, 404 nt
Filed under: Actinomycetes bacterium
Lineage: Bacteria; Bacillati; Actinomycetota; Actinomycetes
Description: Actinobacteria bacterium partial 16S ribosomal RNA
Rfam family: Bacterial small subunit ribosomal RNA
Source: RNAcentral
UGGGGAAUAUUGGACAAUGGGCGCAAGCCUGAUCCAGCCAUGCCGCGUGAGUGAUGAAGGCCCUAGGGUUGUAAAGCUCUUUCACCGGUGAAGAUAAUGACGGUAACCGGAGAAGAAGCCCCGGCUAACUUCGUGCCAGCAGCCGCGGUAAUACGAAGGGGGCUAGCGUUUUUCGGAUUUACUGGGCGUAAAGCGCACGUAGGCGGACUAUUAAGUCAGGGGUGAAAUCCCGGGGCUCAACCCCGGAACUGCCUUUGAUACUGGUAGUCUUGAGUUCGAGAGAAGUGAGUGGAAUUACGAGUGUAGAGGUGAAAAUCGUGAAGAUUCGGAGGAAGACCAGUGGCGAAGGGGGCUCACUGGCUCGAUACUGACGCUGAGGUGCGAAAGGGUGGGGAGCAAACAGG